Molecule: long non-coding RNA, 1109 nt
Organism: Rosa rugosa (rugosa rose)
Lineage: Eukaryota; Viridiplantae; Streptophyta; Magnoliopsida; Rosales; Rosaceae
Exons: 4
Source: RefSeq, a predicted model, not a curated record
AGCUUUUCCUCUUUCCUUGUUCACGUCAGAGUUGGACAGAGAGAAAAGGAGCCUCGUUCAGCUCUUCCCCUCCACGUUUCCAUCAUGCAAAGGGCAACUCCUCCAAGAACAUCAUCUCAGACCUUCAAAAGAGAGAACCCAGGCCAUAAAUCGUCAUUCACCCUUCUCUUCUCACCUUUCCUCUCGUCCCUGGACACAUCAGUCCGUUUACGAGCCUCGAAACACCUAGUUCGAGAUCUCCGAUCAGAAAACGUUCUUCAUCAAAGUUGUUCGCCUAUGUCUCCUCUAUCUAGCCUCCAAAUUUCAGCUCCAUCGGAAUUGAUUUGAGACCUGUACACCCCUCGAAGCGGAAGCUGUUCCGGAGCAAGCCUGUUCCGGAUUUCUGCUUAAACUUCCUCUCUUGCUCUACCCGAAUCCCCAACACCUUGCUUGAGACUGAUACCAACAGUUGUCUCUGUUUCACUUUGCAUGUUCGAGACUGAGCAAACUUCUUGGCCUGUGGCUGGACUCGAUCCAAUCAGCUCCUUCAGCUCUCUUUCCUGUUGAAAUCCUCAAGAGAAGCUCAUCUUUUUUUGUUAGUUUUUGGCUUGACAUCGUGGUGGAAUCUUGUGAAGUGGUGGUUGCUACAAGGUUGCAUUGAGGCCAAGUGCUGCAAGAGAAAGCUCGAGUUCCAGGAGAGGUCAGUUCCUCCUUGAGCCACCGGUGGUGGGCAGUGUGCACCAUGCCCUUGUUAUCUCCCCUUUGUCUCUAGCCUUGUGAUUAAUGAAUUCCGGAAAGUGAUUGGCUAGAUGGACGGUUGUGAUGGAAGUGUGAAAGAUGAUCAAUUGCCGUGGGAUUGUAGUUACGUGGUGACGAUCACGUGGAAGCGCAAACCGGUUUUAUCUACUUCUUUUAUUCAAAACAAUAACUCAUGUUUUUAAACUUAGAUAUGGGGGCGGGCAUGGGCAAUGACUGGAUGUAGGAGCCUAACCCCUACUUUAGUUUGUUUUGCAGGCUGUUGUUGUUGAAGCUUGGGCACGGAGGAUAAUCCUUGGAGGACACAAUUUGUUUUACUAUAUUUAAAGUUUAUUUCCUUUCGGCUUGCUUGAUUUCACUAAAGUUUUGUAACA